UCAAACUUGGUCAUUUAGAGGAAGUAAAAGUCGUAACAAGGUCUCCGUUGGUGAACCAGCGGAGGGAUCAUUACCGAGUUUUUACAACUCCCAAACCCAAUGUGAACCUUUUAAAAACGUUGCUUCGGCGCCACGCCCCGGGCGGUCUCCCAGAGGCCCCCGGACCCAGGCGUGCGCCGAGGGCCUCAAACUCUUGUUUUUAUAGAAGCAGUCUGAGUGGCAUUUAUUGCAAACAAAUGAAUCAAAACUUUCAACAACGGAUCUCUUGGUUCUGGCAUCGAUGAAGAACGCAGC
This 294-nucleotide unclassified non-coding RNA is filed under the name uncultured fungus. Its description in RNAcentral is "partial contains small subunit ribosomal RNA, internal transcribed spacer 1, and 5.8S ribosomal RNA". The stretch from base 1 to 73 matches the Rfam family "Eukaryotic small subunit ribosomal RNA", at positions 1759 to 1831 of the family's 1831-position model. The record is from RNAcentral. Lineage: Eukaryota; Fungi.